UGGGGAAUAUUGCACAAUGGGGGAAACCCUGAUGCAGCGACGCCGCGUGAACGAAGAAGGUAUUCGUAUCGUAAAGUUCUGUCCUAUGGGAAGAUAAUGACAGUACCAUAGAAGAAAGCUCCGGCUAAAUACGUGCCAGCAGCCGCGGUAAUACGUAUGGAGCGAGCGUUGUCCGGAAUUAUUGGGCGUAAAGGGUACGCAGGCGGUUUAAUAAGUCGAAUGUUAAAGAUCGGGGCUCAACCCCGUAAAGCAUUGGAAACUGAUAAACUUGAGUAGUGGAGAGGAAAGGGGAAUUCCUAGUGUAGGAGUGAAAGACGUAGAUAUUAGGAGGAAUACCAGUAGCGAAGGCGACUUUCUGGACACAAACUGACGCUGAGGUACGAAAGCGGGGGGAGCAAACAGG
RNAcentral lists this ribosomal RNA (403 nucleotides) under Actinomycetes bacterium. RNAcentral's name for it is "Actinobacteria bacterium partial 16S ribosomal RNA". It matches the Rfam family "Bacterial small subunit ribosomal RNA", at positions 355 to 776 of the family's 1533-position model. Lineage: Bacteria; Bacillati; Actinomycetota; Actinomycetes. The record is from RNAcentral.